CCUACGAGUGGCAGCAGUGAGGAAUAUUGGUCAAUGGGCGCGAGCCUGAACCAGCCAAGUAGCGUGAAGGAUGACUGCCCUACGGGUUGUAAACUUCUGUUAUAAAGGAAUAAAGUGAGGCAAGUGUGCCUCUUUGUAUGUACUGUAUGAAUAAGGAUCGGCUAACUCCGUGCCUGCAGCCGCGGUAAUACGGAGAAUCCUUGCGUUAUCAGGAUUUAUUGGUUUUAAAGGGAGCGUAGAUGGGUUUGUAAGUCAGUUGUGAAAGUUUGCGGGUCAACCCUAAAAUUGCAAGUGAUACUGGCAGUCUUGAGUACAGUAGAGGUAGGCGGAAUUCGUGGUGUAGCGGUGAAAUGCUUAGAUAUCGCGAAGAACUAC
RNAcentral lists this ribosomal RNA (375 nucleotides) under uncultured bacterium. Its description in RNAcentral is "partial 16S ribosomal RNA". It matches the Rfam family "Bacterial small subunit ribosomal RNA", at positions 338 to 710 of the family's 1533-position model. The record is from RNAcentral.